RNAcentral lists this ribosomal RNA (346 nucleotides) under uncultured bacterium. RNAcentral's name for it is "partial 16S ribosomal RNA". It matches the Rfam family "Bacterial small subunit ribosomal RNA", at positions 338 to 681 of the family's 1533-position model. The record is from RNAcentral.
CCUACGGGUGGCAGCAGUGAGGAAUAUUGGUCAAUGGGCGAGAGCCUGAACCAGCCAAGUCGCGUGAAGGAUGACGGCCCUACGGGUUGUAAACUUCUUUUGUCAGGGAGCAAGUGGGACCACGCGUGGGCUUAGCGAGAGGACCUGAAGAAAAAGCAGCGGCUAACUCCGUGCCAGCAGCCGCGGUAAUACGGAGGAUGCGAGCGUUAGCCUGAUUUAUUGGGUUUAAAGGGGGCGUAGGCGGAAUAUCAAGUCAGCGGUACAAAUUCGGGGCUCAACCCCGUCGUGCCGUUGAAACUGCUGUUCUUGAGUGGGCGCGAAGUAUGCGGAAUGCGUGGUGUAGCUG